GGAACUCAAAAGAACGAAGUAAUCAUCUUAUCGCAGCUGGGAGAGAAAUUGUAAACUUGGAGUGCCAAUUAUAAAACAGUCCGACUUUCUGGUUGGACCAAGCAGCUAUAUUCCUGCCAAUCUGAUUUCUGCUCUGCCCCCUGGUGGUGGCCCCAGGCCUAGCGGUAGCAGGAAAACAGGUGAACAAUUUAAGGUAUUUCCGGAAACGGAGGUUGGCGACUCAGCCUUAUUUACAUACCCACAAUGCAUUGCACAAGGCUAUUUCCUACUUUAAAAAGCUGGAUUCUUCGUUUCCUUUUGACUUUUUUCCCCCCUAAAAAGACCCUGCUUUCAACAGAAUUGUCUGAUAUAGAGGCAGAAACCACUGGCUCUUUUGGGUAAAUAAUUACCAUUGCUGCUCUAGGAGUUACAGUUACCCGAGGACUGAGCGUGAUAAAUACCUGUAUACUCUAGUUUCUCUUCAGAUCGUGUAAAUCUUUCGCCUUUUACUAAAGAUUUCCGUGGAGAGGAACAAUUCUGAGUUUUUACCCAGUUUUUUGAGGCCUUGCACUUGCAAGGCUUAUAAAGCUGUACUAAAAAUAGAGUUGUGUAGUAUGUAUGAGUUUUCUCGUCAAAUAAGAAUUUAGAACCGUGUUCACUUCCGUCGUUGGUGGUGUCUUUCAUCUUUUUUUCCGUGUUAGUGGCAGUGUUUUCAAGAGAGUUUACGCGGUGACGGAUUUCAGAGGGAGUGUGUUUCGUGUUUUUUCUCGGUGCGUCCGUGUUCUGUGCAGCUGCCGUGUUCUUCCUGUGUUGUCCUGCUCCUCUGGGACCCGUUUUCUUCCCUGCGGGUCUCGUCAUUCAUUUCUGCCGCAGCACUGGCCACCAUGACCCACGUGUGCACUUCAGAGAAAAGGCUGUAACUGUCCGUUCGCCCGUCUGGCGUCGGAAGCUGACCCAGCGCCAGGAACAAAGCCCAUGUGUCGCCUGCGUAGACGGACGAAGGGCGCAUGGGUCUCUCUACCGCUCCAACGGUUCCCUUAGUGUGAAGGUCGCUCAGGGUGGUCGUUACAUCCCUACCUAGUAGGUUGUCUAGAAAAAUACUCAUGUCUCAGGCAUCCUUUGGAUUGCAGCUUGUUCUCGCGGAACGUUCUGGAGGUCAGAAGUCUAAAAUCGAGGUGUUGGUGGGACUGCAUUCUUUCUAGAUGCUGCAGGAGAGAAUGUUUCCUUGCUUUUUUUGGCUUCGAGAAGCUGCCUGCAUUCCUCGGCCGGUGAGCUCUUCCUUGCGUCACUCCAACCCUCUUGCUUCUGUCAUGCCAUCUUCCAGUGGUAACUCUGGGACCCCGCCUCCCUCUAAUAAGGACCCUUGUGAUUUACCUCAGGCCCCUCUGCAUAAUCCAGGAUAAUCUCUCCGUCUCAAGACCCUUAACUUCAUCACACCUGCAAAAUCCCUUUUACCAGGUGAGGGAAGAGUCACAGGCUCCAGGGGUAGGGUGGGGACGUAUUUGGAGGCCAUGACUCUGACCACCACAAUAAUGAUAUUGUAAUUAUGUAGGAGAAUGUUCUUAUUCAUAGUAGAAACAUAAUGUGAAGUAUUUAGUGGUGAAAUGUCAUGAUAUCUGAAUCUUUCAAACAGUUCAGUAAACACACAGAGAGAAAGCAAGUGUGUCAGAGAGUCUAGGUAUACAAUUAUUCCUUUUAUUAUUCUUUCAACUUUUUUGUAGUUUUGAACUUUUGAAAAUAAAAAGUUGGAGGAAAAGAAAUAUAUAUUGAUAAAUUCCAUGUAAUAUAUGCUUUAGAUACUUGCAUUAUACCGAAAAUUUCAUUUUAAAAAGUUCCCUUUAUUUUUUUUGAGGAAGAUUAGCUCUGAGCUAACUACUGCCAGUCCUCCUCUUUUUUGCUGAGGAAGCCUGGCCCUGAGCUAAAAUCGUGCCCAUCUUCCUCUACUUUAUACGUGGGACGCCUGCCCCAGCAUGGCUUUUGCCAAGCGGUGCCAUGUCUGCACCCAGGAUCUGAACCGGCAAACCCCAGGCCUCCCAAGUGGAACGUGCGCACUUGACUGCUGUGCCACCGGGCUGGCCCCAUUGUUUUUCUUAAACUAUGAUCGCCUUGGACCAGUGGUUUCUAGAUGUUUUGAUUUUCCAAUUAUUAAAAUUUCCAAAAAAUUUCUGGUGUACUGCUUUUUACCAUCAUUCUACAAAAGAAAGGCCAUUUCAAGACUAAAAACAGUAAGAAUGACUUGACCCCAAAUGAAAGGACUUUUCUUUGAAACAGGAAAUCCAUUUAGCUUUAUGGAAAACACGACUAUGUUUUGUUAACUUCUCUCUCUUCCCUCGACGCAAAUAGAGGAAAGCUGAGGGUCGACAUCAGUUUGGGGAAGGCUGGGGGCGGGGGCGGGGCUUAGACUAACAAUAUCAGGGCCUGUGGUGCCCUCUUGUGGCAGCCUGGGGAGUUACUUCCACCUGACCACUGCCUCUGCUUUGGAGGGACAACUCCCUCACACACCUCAGUCAGUCAGUCAUGC
Molecule: long non-coding RNA, 2500 nt
Organism: Equus caballus (horse)
Lineage: Eukaryota; Metazoa; Chordata; Mammalia; Perissodactyla; Equidae
Source: Ensembl